AGUGAGAAGACCAUGAAAGGGUUGAUCAAGAGUUAAGUUGAGUUUUCACUCCACAGUUGCGGCUGUCCCCAUCUCCCUCCUCCCCCCUCGCAUCAAUUAGGAAACCAAUUAUUGAAAUCAAAGCCGGAGAAGCGCAGUCAAGUGUUCACGUGAUAGAUUUUGGCGCGUGCAUUGUACUUAAACUUCUGUACCUGGACAACCUACACUAGUUGGCUCAGGCAUUCAGCUUUUUGACAUGGACAGACGACGAAGAAGAUUCGCAGUUUACCGGGAGCGCCACCGACAGUGUGCCGAACGAUAUGACAAUGCUCAGGCUGGGCCAGAGGGUGCUCCCGCACCUGCAGCUAGCUGAUCAGCAAUCACCACCUGUGUAUCAUACCUCUGCUGAUCUGCAAGCGGGUGCCAGAUGAUUCUUGAGUUACGAGUGUGGCUCCCUGCCCAGCCUGCCUCUGCGUUUUCCCCACGGACCACGUUACCUUACGACUUCCUCUUGGAUCCACUGCUACUUCUCCCUUUCCUGUGCCCGAACACUUUGAAAGUAAUUUCUGUGCAUUUGUAAAUACAUUAAAUAUGUUGGAGGUAGUGUUAAUUUUAAUCAGCCAUUUUUACAUGGUGUCAAUU
Hippocampus comes (tiger tail seahorse) is the source of this 621-nucleotide long non-coding RNA. RefSeq lists it as uncharacterized. The record is from RefSeq and is a predicted model, not a curated record. The transcript has 3 exons. Lineage: Eukaryota; Metazoa; Chordata; Actinopteri; Syngnathiformes; Syngnathidae.